RNAcentral lists this ribosomal RNA (497 nucleotides) under uncultured bacterium. RNAcentral describes it as "partial 16S ribosomal RNA". It matches the Rfam family "Bacterial small subunit ribosomal RNA", at positions 28 to 507 of the family's 1533-position model. The record is from RNAcentral.
GACGAACGCUGGCGGCGUGCCUAAUACAUGCAAGUUGAGCGAUGAAGCUUGGUGCUUGCUCCACUUUGAUGAGCAGCGGACGGGUGAGUAACGCGUGGGGAAUCUGCCUUUGAGCGUGGGACAACAUCUGGAAACGAAUGCUAAUACCGCAUAACAACUUUAAACAUAAGGUUCAAGUUUGAAAGAUGCAAUUGCAUCAACUAAAAAUUAUCUCCCGGUGGAUUAGGUAAUUGGGUAGGUAAAGGCUCACCAAGGCGAUGAUACAUAGCCGACCUGGGGGGAGGAACGGCCACAAUGGGACUUGAACACCGCCCAAACUCCCACGGGAGGCAGCAGGAGGGAAUCUUCGGCAAUUGGCCAAAGUCUGACCGGGCAACGCCGCGUGGGUUGAGGAAGUUUUCGGGUCGUAAAACUCUGUUGGUAGAGAAGAACGUUGGGGAGAGUGGAAAGCUCAUCUAGUGACGGUAACUACCCAGAAAGGGACGGCUAACUACGUG